GGGGAAUAUUGCACAAUGGGCGAAAGCCUGAUGCAGCAACGCCGCGUGAGUGAUGAAGGCCUUCGGGUUGUAAAGCUCUGUCUUCUGGGACGAUAAUGACGGUACCAGAGGAGGAAGCCACGGCUAACUACGUGCCAGCAGCCGCGGUAAUACGUAGGUGGCAAGCGUUGUCCGGAUUUACUGGGCGUAAAGGAUGCGUAGGCGGAUACUUAAGUCAGAUGUGAAAAUCCCGGGCUUAACUUGGGAACUGCAUUUGAAACUGGGUAUCUAGAGUGCGGGAGAGGACAGUGGAAUUCCUAGUGUAGCGGUGAAAUGCGUAGAGAUUAGGAAGAACACCAGUGGCGAAGGCGACAUUCUGGACCGUAACUGACGCUGAGGCAUGAAAGCGUGGGGAGCAAA
RNAcentral lists this ribosomal RNA (399 nucleotides) under uncultured bacterium. RNAcentral's name for it is "bacterial SSU rRNA". It matches the Rfam family "Bacterial small subunit ribosomal RNA", at positions 356 to 772 of the family's 1533-position model. The record is from RNAcentral.